Molecule: transfer RNA, 67 nt
Filed under: Callistomys pictus (painted tree-rat)
Lineage: Eukaryota; Metazoa; Chordata; Mammalia; Rodentia; Echimyidae
Description: tRNA-Pro
Source: RNAcentral
CAGGAAAUAGUUUAAUUAGAAUAUCAGUUUUGGGUGCUGGUGGUGUGGCUGUCUGCUUCUUUCUUGA